AGCGAACGCUGGCGGCAGGCCUAACACAUGCAAGUCGAACGAACUCUUCGGAGUUAGUGGCGGACGGGUGAGUAACACGUGGGAACGUGCCUUUAGGUUCGGAAUAACUCAGGGAAACUUGUGCUAAUACCGAAUGUGCCCUUCUGGGGAAAGAUUUAUCGCCUUUAGAGCGGCCCGCGUCUGAUUAGCUAGUUGGUGAGGUAAAGGCUCACCAAGGCGACGAUCAGUAGCUGGGUUGAGAGGAUGAUCAGCCACAUUGGGACUGAGACACGGCCCAAACUCCUACGGGAGGCAGCAGUGGGGAAUCUUGCGCAAUGGGGGAAAGCCUGACGCAGCCAUGCCGCGUGAAUGAUGAAGGUCUUAGGAUUGUAAAAUUCUUUCACCGGGGACGAUAAUGACGGUACCCGGAGAAGAAGCCCCGGCUAACUUCGUG
RNAcentral lists this ribosomal RNA (433 nucleotides) under uncultured bacterium. Its description in RNAcentral is "partial 16S ribosomal RNA". It matches the Rfam family "Bacterial small subunit ribosomal RNA", at positions 29 to 507 of the family's 1533-position model. The record is from RNAcentral.